Molecule: ribosomal RNA, 459 nt
Filed under: uncultured bacterium
Lineage: Bacteria
Description: partial 16S ribosomal RNA
Rfam family: Bacterial small subunit ribosomal RNA
Source: RNAcentral
CCUACGGGAGGCAGCAGUGAGGAAUAUUGGUCAAUGGCCGGAAGGCUGAACCAGCCAAGCCGCGUGAGGGAGGAAGGCGCAGAGCGUCGCAGACCUCUUUUGCCGGGGGACAAAAGGCCGGACGGGUCCGGUUCUGAGCGUACCCGUAGAAAAAGCAUCGGCUAACUCCGUGCCAGCAGCCGCGGUAAUACGGAGGUUGCGAGCGUUAUCCGGAUUCAUGGGGGUUAAGGGGUGCGCAGGCGGGCCUUUAAGCCGGCGGUCAAAUCGCGGGGCACAACCCCGCCGAGCCGUCGAAACUGGGGGGCUAGAGUGCGGCGGAGGCAUGCGGAAUGCGCGGUGUAGCGGUGAAAUGCAUAGAUAUCGCGCAGAACCCCGAUUGCGAAGGCAGCGUGCCGUGCCGCCACUGACGCUGAGGCACGAAAGCGCGGGGAUCGAACAGGAUUAGAUACCCGAGUAGUC